This 74-nucleotide transfer RNA is filed under the name Muribaculaceae bacterium Isolate-002 (NCI). Its description in RNAcentral is "tRNA-Cys". It matches the Rfam family "tRNA". From Rfam's summary of the family: Transfer RNA (tRNA) molecules are approximately 80 nucleotides in length. Their secondary structure includes four short double-helical elements and three loops (D, anti-codon, and T loops). The record is from RNAcentral. Lineage: Bacteria; Pseudomonadati; Bacteroidota; Bacteroidia; Bacteroidales; Muribaculaceae.
CAUCCUUUGGCCGAGUGGUUAGGCGGCGGUCUGCAAAACCGUACACGCCGGUUCGAGUCCGGCAUGGAUGUCUA